Molecule: ribosomal RNA, 1227 nt
Filed under: Stenotrophomonas rhizophila
Lineage: Bacteria; Pseudomonadati; Pseudomonadota; Gammaproteobacteria; Lysobacterales; Lysobacteraceae
Description: bacterial SSU rRNA
Rfam family: Bacterial small subunit ribosomal RNA
Source: RNAcentral
AGUGGCGGACGGGUGAGGAAUACAUCGGAAUCUACCUUUUCGUGGGGGAUAACGUAGGGAAACUUACGCUAAUACCGCAUACGACCUUCGGGUGAAAGCAGGGGACCUUCGGGCCUUGCGCGGAUAGAUGAGCCGAUGUCGGAUUAGCUAGUUGGCGGGGUAAAGGCCCACCAAGGCGACGAUCCGUAGCUGGUCUGAGAGGAUGAUCAGCCACACUGGAACUGAGACACGGUCCAGACUCCUACGGGAGGCAGCAGUGGGGAAUAUUGGACAAUGGGCGCAAGCCUGAUCCAGCCAUACCGCGUGGGUGAAGAAGGCCUUCGGGUUGUAAAGCCCUUUUGUUGGGAAAGAAAAGCAGUCGAUUAAUACUCGGUUGUUCUGACGGUACCCAAAGAAUAAGCACCGGCUAACUUCGUGCCAGCAGCCGCGGUAAUACGAAGGGUGCAAGCGUUACUCGGAAUUACUGGGCGUAAAGCGUGCGUAGGUGGUUGUUUAAGUCUGUUGUGAAAGCCCUGGGCUCAACCUGGGAAUUGCAGUGGAUACUGGGCGACUAGAGUGUGGUAGAGGGUAGUGGAAUUCCCGGUGUAGCAGUGAAAUGCGUAGAGAUCGGGAGGAACAUCCAUGGCGAAGGCAGCUACCUGGACCAACACUGACACUGAGGCACGAAAGCGUGGGGAGCAAACAGGAUUAGAUACCCUGGUAGUCCACGCCCUAAACGAUGCGAACUGGAUGUUGGGUGCAAUUUGGCACGCAGUAUCGAAGCUAACGCGUUAAGUUCGCCGCCUGGGGAGUACGGUCGCAAGACUGAAACUCAAAGGAAUUGACGGGGGCCCGCACAAGCGGUGGAGUAUGUGGUUUAAUUCGAUGCAACGCGAAGAACCUUACCUGGUCUUGACAUGUCGAGAACUUUCCAGAGAUGGAUUGGUGCCUUCGGGAACUCGAACACAGGUGCUGCAUGGCUGUCGUCAGCUCGUGUCCUGGAAAUGUUGGGGUUAAGUCCCGCAACGAGCGCAACCCUUGUCCUUAGUUGCCAGCACGUAAUGGUGGGGAACUCUAAGGAAACCGCCGGUGACAAACCGGAGGAAAGGGGGGGGAUGAACUUCAAGUCAUCAUGGGCCUUUACGACCAGGGCUUACACCGUUCUUACAAGGGUGGGGGACAAAAGGGGUGCAAACCCCCCGAGGGGAGGCCAUUUCCCAAAACCCUUCUCUAUCCCGGGAUGGGAGU